Molecule: long non-coding RNA, 756 nt
Organism: Sorghum bicolor (sorghum)
Lineage: Eukaryota; Viridiplantae; Streptophyta; Magnoliopsida; Poales; Poaceae
Exons: 4
Source: RefSeq, a predicted model, not a curated record
UGGCGCCUCCUCCUCUCCUCCUCUCUCCCUCACGCAAGCACCAGAGAAGCAGUCCUCAUCCUCUUCCUUUCCACCUCCAUGGGCGCCCCCUUCUCUUCCCUACCUUUCUCUCCUUCUCCAUCAAAAUGGAGUGCCUCGAUCGGUGAUUAGAACCGAAUUCAUCCACUUGUUUCCCUUCCCAUGGACCCAGCAAGGAUUUGGGAGAGAUCAUUGUUGUUGUUUCUCUGCUGUAACAGGGGUGAUGAUCAUCGCUACUGCGAUAGAAGCCAGUCCGAUCAGCAACAAUGCGAGCCUAUUGUCCUGCGAUAUCAUGUCGUCAUCGCCACCGUUCUAGUACAGCAUGUGAUCAUCUCUAAGGUCGAAUUAUCGAUGUCGUCUCUAUGAACGUGCUGGUGGUGGCGUCGAUCCUAGCAGCCAUGUUGAUGCUACCAUUGAUCCUUGCCCAACAGUAAGGUGCUGCCAACCACAUAACCAGUUGUUGGAAUUCCAUGAUGUUUGUCUAUGAUGCUUGUACCGAUUGUUUGCUGACGUUAGAAGGAGCUUUGAAAGGAUGAUCCAAGAGAGAAGUUUGAAGGUUUGGAUAGCAAGCUUUUGGAAGGCAAGUGUAACAUGAGUUCCCUUGUUACCUAAUAACUAUUUAAUCACCUCUUCAUGUGCAUGUGUCUAAUAUGAUAAAGCCCUAAGGACUUUACCUAGAACUAUUGUAUCUUGUAUCCUUGUUUACCCUAGGGUUAUGCAUACGGGUAGUUUGCUUAG